CAGCAGCCGCGGGAAAACGUAGGGCGCAAGCGUUAUCCGGAAUUAUUGGGCGUAAAGAGCUCGUAGGCGGUUUGUCGCGUCUGCCGUGAAAGUCCGGGGCUCAACCCCGGAUCUGCGGUGGGUACGGGCAGACUAGAGUGAUGUAGGGGAGACUGGAAUUCCUGGUGUAGCGGUGAAAUGCGCAGAUAUCAGGAGGAACACCGAUGGCGAAGGCAGGUCUCUGGGCAUUAACUGACGCUGAGGAGCGAAAGCAUGGGGAGCGAACAGGAUUAGAUACCCCGGUAGUCCCUGUCUCUUAUAC
This 301-nucleotide ribosomal RNA is filed under the name uncultured bacterium. RNAcentral describes it as "partial 16S ribosomal RNA". It matches the Rfam family "Bacterial small subunit ribosomal RNA", at positions 509 to 807 of the family's 1533-position model. The record is from RNAcentral.